UACGGAGGUGGCUAGCGUUACUCGGAAUUAUUGGGUGUAAAGGGCAAGUAGGCGGCUUGGCAAGUAGGGGGUGAAAUACUCCGGCUCAAUCGGAGAACUGCCUUCUAAACUGCCAGGCUUGAGUAUGACAGAGGAAAAUGGAAUUCUCGGUGUAAGGGUGAAAUCUGUAGAUAUCGAGAAGAACACCAGCGGCGAAGGCGAUUUUCUGGGUCAUUACUGACGCUAAAUUGCGAAAGCUAGGGGAGCAAACAGA
Molecule: ribosomal RNA, 253 nt
Filed under: uncultured bacterium
Lineage: Bacteria
Description: partial 16S ribosomal RNA
Rfam family: Bacterial small subunit ribosomal RNA
Source: RNAcentral